RNAcentral lists this ribosomal RNA (655 nucleotides) under uncultured bacterium. RNAcentral's name for it is "bacterial SSU rRNA". It matches the Rfam family "Bacterial small subunit ribosomal RNA", at positions 8 to 652 of the family's 1533-position model. The record is from RNAcentral.
AGAGUUUGAUCAUGGCUCAGAUUGAACGCUGGCGGCAGGCCUAACACAUGCAAGUCGAACGGUAACAGGAAGAAGCUUGCUUCUUUGCUGACGAGUGGCGGACGGGUGAGUAAUGUCUGGGAAACUGCCUGAUGGAGGGGGAUAACUACUGGAAACGGUAGCUAAUACCGCAUAACGUCGCAAGACCAAAGAGGGGGACCUUCGGGCCUCUUGCCAUCGGAUGUGCCCAGAUGGGAUUAGCUUGUUGGUGGGGUAACGGCUCACCAAGGCGACGAUCCCUAGCUGGUCUGAGAGGAUGACCAGCCACACUGGAACUGAGACACGGUCCAGACUCCUACGGGAGGCAGCAGUGGGGAAUAUUGCACAAUGGGCGCAAGCCUGAUGCAGCCAUGCCGCGUGUAUGAAGAAGGCCUUCGGGUUGUAAAGUACUUUCAGCGGGGAGGAAGGGAGUAAAGUUAAUACCUUUGCUCAUUGACGUUACCCGCAGAAGAAGCACCGGCUAACUCCGUGCCAGCAGCCGCGGUAAUACGGAGGGUGCAAGCGUUAAUCGGAAUUACUGGGCGUAAAGCGCACGCAGGCGGUUUGUUAAGUCAGAUGUGAAAUCCCCGGGCUCAACCUGGGAACUGCAUCUGAUACUGGCAAGCUUGAGUCUCGU